This 1320-nucleotide long non-coding RNA is filed under the name Homo sapiens (human). RNAcentral describes it as "HSALNT0341107". The record is from RNAcentral. Lineage: Eukaryota; Metazoa; Chordata; Mammalia; Primates; Hominidae.
UUGUGCCCAGAGUUUGAUUUUCCACAGACCAGGUAGAGGCCAAGAGCCUCUCACAGACUCUGCAGCAGGGUUGCUAUGAUUAACUCUUAAGUACUCCACAACUACACGCUUUUGAAACUGGCGUUGGCAUAGCGUUAGUUCUGUGCAGGGCGGACGCAGCAGGACAGAAUCUCCCUGGGCAUCUUUUCGGAGCAUCAAUUUUACUGCAAAAUUUUGAAAAAACAAAUUUAAUUGAUUUCCAAGGUUUGUCAAGGAGGACAGAAACUCAGAGCACCCUGCACUUGGGGAUCGGCACUAGGAGCUGCUCUCUGGAUGGGGAGAUGGGAGCUAGCAGCUCACAAUGGGGUCACAAGAAGAAACAAGGCUUCCUUCAACACUGAAUUAAUGAAAAACAACUCAGGAUAUUUACUUUUCUUCACACCAUAAAUUUUGAAGAGCUUUUUCGUUAUGCACUGUGUGUUACAACAUAUGUGCUUAAGCAGUCAAGCAAGUAUCUCAUAUCUGAAUUGGAAAGCUUUAGAGUAUUGACAAAGAAGAUGUAUGUAUGUAUGUGAUGUUGCUGGCCUAAGACAGGCCACUGCUACUGCACACAGAGCAACUGUAUGUUAACAACUGCUGUGCUAGGGGCGUGUCCCCUGAAGUUAGUGUUGCUAGCAUGGAAUUGAAAAUAUUUAUGAGUCUCAGACAUGGCAUCACGGUGUUUGACUAUUAUUACAUUAGUUACUUUUAGUCACUGUUUUAUUACAACAUUUUAAUGUACAUUUGUUCACAGUGUAAAGAAACUGAAGUUUUUGUUUGUUUGUUUUUUCUUUGUUUCUGUUUUUGUUUUUAACUUUUAUGGUUGUGUGCCCAUGGGCCCCCACAAGAGGUCUCUGUUUGAUCUCAUUUCUGUGCUAGUGAUAUUUCUAGGAGUCCAAUAAUAUGGGGCAUGUUAUAAUAUACCUUUUAGAAUGAAGAAAAAGUGGUUACGUAUACAUUCUCCUACAUCAAAAAAAGGCGCAAGAGCUGGCAGGUUUCUUUGGGUUAUGAGAAACCCAUUCCUAGUUUGAGUAUGAUACCGUGGCCCAUUCAAUGAAUGUAAUGGAAAACUGCUACUUUUAAAUUGGGCACAGAAUAAUAGAAGGCCUGCAAAAAGUCCAGAGUGCAAUGCAAGCUACUUUGCCACUUGUGCCAUAUGACUGCAGAUGCAAUGGUUUUUGAGGUGUGACUGGGAGAUAGGAAUGCUGUUGUAUCUUUGAUAGGUUGCUAUACAUAAAGCCUGGUGUAGGUCCUUAUAAUUUUGGAGCAGAGCCUUAAAACCUUCUGCAGAUAAUUCUUUCU